CCUACGGGGGGCUGCAGUGGGGAAUAUUGCGCAAUGGCCGAAAGGCUGACGCAGCGACGCCGCGUGGGGGAUGAAGCAUUUCGGUGUGUAAACCCCUGUUGCCCGGGACGAACAACUGGAUUCUUCCAGUCUGACGGUACCGGGUGAGGAAGCACCGGCUAACUCCGUGCCAGCAGCCGCGGUAAUACGGAGGGUGCGAGCGUUGUCCGGAAUCACUGGGCGUAAAGGGCGCGUAGGCGGUCUGCUAAGCGUGUGGUGAAAGCUCGGGGCUCAACCCCGAGUCUGCCAUGCGAACUGGUGGACUUGAGCACUGUAGAGGCAGGUGGAAUUCCGGGUGUAGCGGUGGAAUGCGUAGAGAUCCGGAAGAACACCGGUGGCGAAGGCGGCCUGCUGGGCAGUUGCUGACGCUGAGGCGCGACAGCGUGGGGAGCAAACAGGAUUAGAUACCCCAGUAGUC
This 457-nucleotide ribosomal RNA is filed under the name uncultured Gemmatimonas sp. Its description in RNAcentral is "bacterial SSU rRNA". It matches the Rfam family "Bacterial small subunit ribosomal RNA", at positions 338 to 795 of the family's 1533-position model. Lineage: Bacteria; Pseudomonadati; Gemmatimonadota; Gemmatimonadia; Gemmatimonadales; Gemmatimonadaceae. The record is from RNAcentral.